Salvia miltiorrhiza (redroot sage) is the source of this 1176-nucleotide long non-coding RNA. RefSeq lists it as uncharacterized. NCBI's taxonomy places the organism in Eukaryota, Viridiplantae, Streptophyta, Magnoliopsida, Lamiales, Lamiaceae. The record is from RefSeq and is a predicted model, not a curated record. The transcript is spliced from 2 exons.
AAAACAUUUUGGGAGAUUCUCUUGGUUUUUGGAGUGACAAUACAAAUGCUUCUUCUUUUUCUGUUUCAACUUAUGAAAAUUUUUCUUAUUCGAAGUUACGUUCUCUGAUAAGGAUUUUGGGCGAAGAUCCCUGCAAGUUAUUUGGUGUGUACAUGCAAUUUGACAAUAUAUAUUUUGUAGAGCGAAGAAGAAAGGAUUAGAAAAUGAGACAGUGUGGAUAUGCGGAAAAAUAAUACUCCCUUCGUCCAAAUAAUUAAGACACACUUUUCUUAUUGGGUUGUCCCAAUAAUAAGGACACACUUUUAAAAAUAGAAAAAAUUAGACUUAAAUUAAACUUAAUCUAUUAAUCCUUAAUCUGGGUAUGAAAGUUAAAAAUUUAUUGGGUUCUCCUUUCGACUGCAUAGCAGCGGUGAGGCCGUUGGCUUCGCUUCGCUCGACGGAAUCAGCCGCCUCAUCUCCUUCGUUCUCCCCCUCCCCCUCGCCGAUGGACUCAUAGCAAGGAGCAUGCCAUCGCUGCUGCCCUCCUCCUGCCCCAGAGCUGAAAAAAUAACGGAUCUCUGACGAGGUGUGGCCUCGCCGGCGACUGGAGUAUUCAGGAGACGCGGUGGAUCUGGUUCUGGAGGCUAGGGUUUGUAGGGCGUCAGCGCCAUCGCUCGAGAUACGUGUGCGUCUGUGAAGAGAGGGAGCAGAGGUGAAGGGAAAAGGGGGUGGCGGGGACAGUGACGAUGGCUCGCCGAAUCCGCGCCGGGGAAGAAAUGCGUCACCUGCGCCGCUGGUUUGAGUGUGUGUCUUGAGCGAGAGAGAGAGAGAGAGAGAGGGAUUAGUGGGAGAGGGGUUUGUAGAGAGCGAUUUCUGGGUUUGAUUUUGGGCAGCGUAGCAGAUGGAAGAAGAAGCGUGGUGGUCGGCGAUGGUGGGCGGCAGUGAUUCCACCGAGUAGAUUUGAGAGAGAAGAUGAUAGAGAGAGUUGAGAGUUAAAACAAUUUAAAACUUAUACUAAACUAUCUAAUAUAAUUAUCCUAAAUUCUCGUGCCCAAAUGAAGUGUUUCUUCAUUAUUGGGACGGAAGAAGUAUAUAUACAUUCUAAUAUAAAGAAAUAUGCAUAUUUUGUGUUGCUCACGGACCGCAAACUAUCAAUUUCAGACCUGAGUUAUGUUUCAUCGGAAAAGUGAACCGUAA